CGUGUAGGCGGCUUGGUAAGUCAGAUGUGAAAGCCCUGGGCUCAACCCGGGAAGUGCAUUUGAAACUGUCAGGCUCGAGUAGGGGAGAGGGAAGUGGAAUUCCUGGUGUAGAGGUGAAAUUCGUAGAUAUCAGGAGGAACACCGGUGGCGAAGGCGACUUCCUGGCCCUAUACUGACGCUGAGACGCGAGAGCGUGGGUAGCAAACA
This 207-nucleotide ribosomal RNA is filed under the name uncultured Pseudomonadota bacterium. RNAcentral's name for it is "uncultured proteobacterium partial 16S ribosomal RNA". It matches the Rfam family "Bacterial small subunit ribosomal RNA", at positions 568 to 774 of the family's 1533-position model. The record is from RNAcentral. Lineage: Bacteria; Pseudomonadati; Pseudomonadota.